Molecule: long non-coding RNA, 470 nt
Filed under: Suricata suricatta (meerkat)
Lineage: Eukaryota; Metazoa; Chordata; Mammalia; Carnivora; Herpestidae
Description: lncRNA (ENSSSUG00005004467.1)
Source: RNAcentral
CUAGUAAGCAUUCCUGUGGACGGUGACUAUAGGCUUUUGGAAGUGCAGCUCUAGAGUAGCAAGACACAGCAUUUUCUAACUUCAUUUGUCAGAGCAACAUAUAAUUGCCUUCACAGCAAGUUACCCAUUUCACCUUGUUUUUGGAAUCCAUACCUUAGAGUUCUUCCCCAGAUCCUAACUUGCACAUGAGCCUGUAUUUGUUCCCCUCCAGAAAAUUUAUUUCCCUGUUAGAUUGUUUUCUUACACAUUUACUCUAUCAGAUUCAACUACGUCGGAAGAAGAACAUGCCAUUUUGUAGUUUGCCAAAUGAAGUACAGCUCCAACUCUGCCAGACCACAAUCUAUCGAGAGGCUGGAAAAACUACCAUCUCUGACCACUUAAAUUCUCAUUUCCUUGUAUUCAUCACAUUUGUAAGUACACAACAGAAGCAUUAACUUUUUCGCUUAAAAUUCUGGCAGGGGGCCCCUGUG